This 266-nucleotide long non-coding RNA is filed under the name Gossypium barbadense (sea-island cotton). RNAcentral describes it as "long non-coding RNA (GBAR_LNC009705)". Lineage: Eukaryota; Viridiplantae; Streptophyta; Magnoliopsida; Malvales; Malvaceae. The record is from RNAcentral.
GACCAAAAAUGAACUAAAAACAAAGUUUUGGGGCGAAUUUAAAAAAAAAUUAAAGGGGAAAGGACCUAUUUGAAUGCGGGUAAAACCAUGGGGUAUUAAAAGUGCAAAAUUUCAAACUUUCCAAAACGCUGCGCAUAUACGGGGGUUAAAUUAAAAACUGAGCAAAAUUCUGGGGUCAAUUCAGAAACAAACAUAAACCUAAUUUAAAACACCAAAAAUGCGGAAGGGCUGAUUGCGCAAAUAGCCCUUCCGCUCUUAAAACACGC